This 866-nucleotide ribosomal RNA is filed under the name uncultured archaeon. Its description in RNAcentral is "bacterial SSU rRNA". It matches the Rfam family "Archaeal small subunit ribosomal RNA", at positions 1 to 874 of the family's 1478-position model. The record is from RNAcentral.
UCCGGUUGAUCCUGCCGGGGGUUACUGCUAUCGGUGUUUGACUAAGCCAUGCGAGUCAAAUGUUCUUCGUGAACAUGGCGCAAUGCUCAGUAACACGUGGAUAACCUGCCCUCAGGUCCGGCAUAAUCUCGGGAAACUGAGGAUAAUUCCGGAUAUCCCUUUUCUGUUGGAAGACUUAAAGGGACAAAGAAUUUCGCCUGAGGAUGGGUCUGCGGCCUAUCAGGUUGUAGGGGGUGUAAGGUACCUCCUAGCCGACGACGGGUACGGGUUGUGAGAGCAAGAGCCCGGAGAUGGAUUCUGAGACAUGAAUCCAGGCCCUACGGGGCGCAGCAGGCGCGAAAACUUUACAAUGCAGGAAACUGUGAUAAGGAGACACCGAGUGCUCGCAUCAAAUGCGGGCUGUCCGCUUACUUAAAUCGUAAGCGUUAGCAAGGGCCGGGCAAGACCGGUGCCAGCCGCCGCGGUAAUACCGGUGGCCCGAGUGGUAGCCGCUUUUAUUGGGUCUAAAGGGUCCGUAGCCGGUUCGGUCAGUCCAUUGGGAAAUCCGGAUGCUCAACAUCCGGGCUUCCAGUGGAUACUGCCGAACUUGGGAUCGGGGGAGGUAAGAGGUACUAUAGGGGUAGGAGUGAAAUCUUGUAAUCCCUGUGGGACCACCUGUGGCGAAAGGCGUCUUACCAAAACGAGUCCGACGGUGAGGGACGAAAGCUGGGGGCACGAACCCGGAUUAGAUACCCGGGUAGUCCCAGCCCGUAACGAUGCUCGCUAGGUGUCAGGCAUGGCGUGACUGUGUUUGGUGCCGAAGGGAACCCGUGAGGCGAGCCACCUGGGAGUACGGCCGCAGGCUGAAACUUAAGGAUUGGCGGGGG